GGAGAGAUGCAGGAGUGGUUUAACUGGCAGACCUGGAAAGUCUGUGAGCUCGCAAGGGUUCCGUGGGUUCGAAUCCCACUCUCUCCGCCA
Molecule: transfer RNA, 90 nt
Filed under: candidate division WS2 bacterium ADurb.Bin280
Lineage: Bacteria
Description: tRNA-Ser
Rfam family: tRNA
About the family: Transfer RNA (tRNA) molecules are approximately 80 nucleotides in length. Their secondary structure includes four short double-helical elements and three loops (D, anti-codon, and T loops).
Source: RNAcentral